UCCGUGAAAACCUGAUCGUUUCG
Molecule: transfer RNA, 23 nt
Filed under: Physalaemus cuvieri (barker frog)
Lineage: Eukaryota; Metazoa; Chordata; Amphibia; Anura; Leptodactylidae
Description: partial tRNA-Val
Source: RNAcentral